CGAGCGAUGAAGUUUCCUUCGGGAACGGAUUAGCGGCGGACGGGUGAGUAACACGUGGGUAACCUGCCUCAUAGAGGGGAAUAGCCUCCCGAAAGGGAGAUUAAUACCGCAUAACAUUGCAGUUUCGCAUGAAACAGCAAUUAAAGGAGCAAUCCGCUAUGAGAUGGACCCGCGGCGCAUUAGCUAGUUGGUAAGGUAAUGGCUUACCAAGGCGACGAUGCGUAGCCGACCUGAGAGGGUGAUCGGCCACAUUGGGACUGAGACACGGCCCAGACUCCUACGGGAGGCAGCAGUGGGGAAUAUUGCACAAUGGGGGAAACCCUGAUGCAGCAACGCCGCGUGAGUGAUGACGGUCUUCGGAUUGUAAAGCUCUGUCUUUGGGGACGAUAAUGACGGUACCCAAGGAGGAAGCCACGGCUAACUACGUGCCAGCAGCCGCGGUAAUACGUAGGUGGCAAGCGUUGUCCGGAUUUACUGGGCGUAAAGGGAGCGUAGGCGGAUUUUUAAGUGGGAUGUGAAAUACCCGGGCUCAACCUGGGUGCUGCAUUCCAAACUGGGAAUCUAGAGUGCAGGAGGGGAGAGUGGAAUUCCUAGUGUAGCGGUGAAAUGCGUAGAGAUUAGGAAGAACACCAGUGGCGAAGGCGACUCUCUGGACUGUAACUGACGCUGAGGCUCGAAAGCGUGGGGAGCAAACAGGAUUAGAUACCCUGAUAGUCCACGCCGUAAACGAUGAAUACUAGGUGUAGGGGUUUCGAU
Molecule: ribosomal RNA, 756 nt
Filed under: Clostridium sardiniense
Lineage: Bacteria; Bacillati; Bacillota; Clostridia; Eubacteriales; Clostridiaceae
Description: bacterial SSU rRNA
Rfam family: Bacterial small subunit ribosomal RNA
Source: RNAcentral